Caenorhabditis elegans is the source of this 150-nucleotide non-coding RNA. Lineage: Eukaryota; Metazoa; Nematoda; Chromadorea; Rhabditida; Rhabditidae. The record is from Ensembl.
UCAGAGGGACGAGGGUGUAGUUUGAACGGCCAUGGCCAUAUGGUCUGCUAAAUGUUUAGCAGACCAUAGCUAUUUAGCAGACCCAAGCAUGGUAUGCUAAAUAUUUAGCAGACCAUAGCUAUUUAGCAGACCCAAGUAUGGUAUGCUAAU